CACGGGGGUUGCGAGCGUUGUCCGGAAUUACUAGGCGUAAAGGGCAGGCAGGCGGAUCCAUAAGUUUAUCGUUUAAGGCGUCGGCUUAACCGGCGUAGGGCGGUAGAUACUGUGGAUCUGGAAUGCGGUUGGGGAAGACAGAAUCCCUGGUGUAGCGGUGGAAUGCGCAGAGAUCAGGAGGAAUACCGAAGGCGAAGGCAGUCUUCCAAGCCGUUAUUGACGCUCAACUGCGAAGGUGUGGGUAUCAAACAGGAUUAGAUACCCUGGUAGCCCCUGA
Molecule: ribosomal RNA, 277 nt
Filed under: uncultured prokaryote
Description: partial 16S ribosomal RNA
Rfam family: Bacterial small subunit ribosomal RNA
Source: RNAcentral